GUGGGGAAUCUUGGACAAUGGGGGAAACCCUGAUCCAGCCAUGCCGCGUGAUCGAUGAAGGCCUUAGGGUUGUAAAGAUCUUUCAGCUGGGAAGAUAAUGACUGUACCAGCAGAAGAAGCCCCGGCUAACUCCGUGCCAGCAGCCGCGGUAAUACGGAGGGGGCUAGCGUUGUUCGGAAUUACUGGGCGUAAAGCGCACGUAGGCGGAUCAGUCAGUCAGGGGUGAAAUCCCGGGGCUCAACCCCGGAACUGCCUUUGAUACUGCUGGUCUUGAGGUCGAGAGAGGUGAGUGGAAUUCCGAGUGUAGAGGUGAAAUUCGUAGAUAUUCGGAGGAACACCAGUGGCGAAGGCGGCUCACUGGCUCGAUACUGACGCUGAGGUGCGAAAGCGUGGGGAGCAA
RNAcentral lists this ribosomal RNA (400 nucleotides) under uncultured Amaricoccus sp. RNAcentral's name for it is "bacterial SSU rRNA". It matches the Rfam family "Bacterial small subunit ribosomal RNA", at positions 354 to 771 of the family's 1533-position model. The record is from RNAcentral. Lineage: Bacteria; Pseudomonadati; Pseudomonadota; Alphaproteobacteria; Rhodobacterales; Paracoccaceae.